GCAACCGAGGUGCCUGGGGCCGCGGGGGUGCGUUGGUGGGGAGGGGUGUCGGGAGUUAUGGGGCGUAAAGGGCGCGUAGGUGGUGUGUUGCGUCGGGAGUGAAAACACACAGCUUAACUGUGUGCUUGCUUUCGAUACGGGCAGACGUGAGGGAUGUAGGGGAGAACGGAAUUCCUGGUGGAGCGGUGGAAUGCGCAGAUAUCAGGAGGAACACCGGUGGCGAAGGCGGUUCUCUGGACAUUUCCUGACGCUGAGGAGCGAAAGCGUGGGGAGCAAACAGGAUUAGAUACCCCUGUAGUC
RNAcentral lists this ribosomal RNA (300 nucleotides) under uncultured Cycloclasticus sp. RNAcentral describes it as "bacterial SSU rRNA". It matches the Rfam family "Bacterial small subunit ribosomal RNA", at positions 496 to 795 of the family's 1533-position model. The record is from RNAcentral. Lineage: Bacteria; Pseudomonadati; Pseudomonadota; Gammaproteobacteria; Thiotrichales; Piscirickettsiaceae.